GCCCGUCGUCCAGUUCGUACUGUAAAGCGUUCUGUUAAGUCAGAUAACGAACGAGACCCUCAUCUCUAUUUGCUACCCUUCUCUCCGGAGGAGGCGCACCAUAGAGAGACCGCUGGUGCUAAACCAGAGGAAGGCGAGGGCAACGACAGGUCAGUAUGCCCCGAAUGUCAUGGGCUACACGCGCGCUACAAAGGACGGGACAAUGGGAAGCCAGAUCGAGAGAUCGAGCUAACCCGAAACCCGUUCAUAGUUCGGAUUGUGGGCUGUAACUCGCCCACAUGAAGCUGGAUUGCGUAGUAAUCGUGUUUCAACAUAGCACGGUGAAUAUGCCCCUGCUCCUUGCACACACCGCCCGUCAAACCAUCUUAGUUGGGGGUGGGUGAGGCUGCGCUUUAUGGCGUAUUCGAGCCUGUCUUUAACAAGGAGGGUUAAGUCGUAACAAGGUAACC
RNAcentral lists this ribosomal RNA (449 nucleotides) under uncultured archaeon. RNAcentral describes it as "bacterial SSU rRNA". It matches the Rfam family "Archaeal small subunit ribosomal RNA", at positions 996 to 1448 of the family's 1478-position model. The record is from RNAcentral.